Molecule: long non-coding RNA, 831 nt
Filed under: Homo sapiens (human)
Lineage: Eukaryota; Metazoa; Chordata; Mammalia; Primates; Hominidae
Description: HSALNT0059858
Source: RNAcentral
CCCAGACAGCUGCAUAAAUGUGGGGCUACAAAAAGCCCAAAGACGAACAUGAACUCAACAACGCCAUCCCAGAAGCCCCCAUGCAGAUGAUGGGGCCAACAGAGCAAUAUGCUAUCAGUGCUGACCUUGCUAAGGCCUGACCCCUCACUCCUGGAAAAUCUUAGACCCUUUCUUAGGAUACUCUUUCCUGAUUGGAACGGGGAGCAGCGUAGAAUACCUGCAUCAAGAUGCUUGGAUACAGAUGCAAAGCAAAGGGAAAAAUUGACAGAUAAGAGCCUCAUGAUAGCAGAGAAGUCUUGAUUCAUGAUCUUGGGGAAAAGCUGUCCAAGUCAAGGAUGCUGUCUUCUUCUGGGGAGAAACUUCCCUGGACGUAUAACAUUGGAAAGAAGCAAUUUACUCAUCUAGACUUGGAGAGUCUGGCUCAACAUCAAAUUAAAAUCAUGCUGGUGUUCACGUGAGGGUGCUUUUGUGCAAAGCUGGAGAAGCACGGGAUGUGAAGGGCCUUGCUGGAGGCAGAGCUCUGCAGAUGAACCAGAAGACCGCACCCGAACCCCCGUUCAGCUGCGAGGCAUAAACGCCUUCCCCUGGUUAGGAGCUGAUGCCUCACUGUGAGCUUGGAUGGCAAGUUCAUAGAGGCCAUCCACACGAAUGGGUUUAAUGGGAUUUCUUUAUCAAUUGUUUAAAGAGAGUCUUUAGCGUCCCUCAAUACCCUUUCCAGGAGGAUACACAGAAUAAAUUCCUGCUUGACUUUUAGAUCCCAGAUAAAACUACUCCCGCAGAAGAAUUAGAAUUUCUUUGUCAUAUUGGACAAUAAAAAUUAUGUAACUUACU